This 254-nucleotide ribosomal RNA is filed under the name uncultured bacterium. RNAcentral describes it as "partial 16S ribosomal RNA". It matches the Rfam family "Bacterial small subunit ribosomal RNA", at positions 524 to 776 of the family's 1533-position model. The record is from RNAcentral.
UACGUAGGGUCCGAGCGUUGUCCGGAAUUAUUGGGCGUAAAGGGCUCGUAGGCGGUUUGUCGCGUCGGGAGUGAAAACUCAGGGCUCAACCCUGAGCGUGCUUCCGAUACGGGCAGACUAGAGGUAUGCAGGGGAGAACGGAAUUCCUGGUGUAGCGGUGGAAUGCGCAGAUAUCAGGAGGAACACCGGUGGCGAAGGCGGUUCUCUGGGCAUGUCCUGACGCUGAGGAGCGAAAGUGUGGGGAGGCGAACAGG